AGAGAGAGAGAGAGAGAGAGGGAGCAGAUCUAAGGGGAAUGGAAUCCCUUUUUUAUCCUUACCUAGCCCUAUUUGUAGAGGAAAAUAAUAUGAGCAUAUUCCUUGGCAUAUUCUAGGAAACAUUCUUUAGGAGUAUAUUCCUAAAUAAAAUGGGUAUAUGUUAUAUGUGAUUAAUUUAUAGUAUAUCAGAUGCCCCUUUGCUCUAGUGCAAGUUAUUUAUGAAUUAUGCUAGGGUAAACUUUCUUGUCCUAAAACUAUUAUGUCUCUAUGACUAUUUAAUUUAAUCCAAUUAGUUAAGAAUAAAAUUUCACGUAAACUAUGUGAUAGUCUUUUAGCAACAUUUUCAAUAGAGGAGUUAUUAAAUCAUUAUUAAAUAAAUGAGAGGUCCAUAAAUUCUAACAAAUUGGUGGUAGCGACGUGGAAAUUGAAAUUUGGCAAAUAAUACUAGAUUUAUAUAUAGCCUAUGACAAGUAACACACGUUGUGUAACUCUGGCUAAUCUUAGUCGACCAAUGGCAGAUUUGUAAUUCCAAAAGAAACUAAUGAUAAAUUCAAUAGGAUUUUUCUUCCUUGUUGGGUCUAAUUCUUUGUAAGUAGACUUGUUAUUCUGUAUAUAAUAACAGUCCCGAGCUCUUGACAUAAACCAUCAUGAGUUUCGACAAAUGUAGGGAUUAGGACAACAAUAGGCAUGAUGGGCAAGUCUUUCCAUGCACUCAUUCAAGUUGGUGACAUGUAGCGAAAAUGGUUCAUCCAAACAUGAAGUAGUCGGUUGUUCAAGCAUGAAGGACCAGUCAGCUAUCCAAGAUCUAAGAAGUUGGCUAUCCAAGCUUUAAAAACUAGUCAGCCAAAUGUUGAGAAAUCGGUCACCUUUACUAGGCGAAGCUCACCUGGAACAAUUCUCAAGUGCUUCCUCUUGCAUUUACUAACUUUAAAACUUUUUCGAAUAAACAUCAUGACUCUCGUGUUCUUAAUGAGCACCAUCACCUCCAUGGGCACAAACCAACCAACUAACCUCUUCAAGCUUGAUAAAACUGAAGAUGAUAUGACUAUAUAUAAUUUAGAUCGUGGAGGAAGUAAAUUUAUAGUGUUUCAUUCACUACUCGUAUGGAAUUCUUUUAAUAAUUAAGAAAUCAGAUGGUGUUUGGAACAGUGACAUGUGGUUUAUGAAGGUUUUGGGAUAAUAUGGGUACUAGAGUAUUUUUCAUAGUGCAUAUGACUGCUUCUUCCUAGAACUGCUCUACUAUGACUACUUCUAGGAAAAAAGCUUUAGUGAUCUUCUAAUGGGGAUCAUGAUGUUGGCUAGGAAAAAUUCUGAACUUCCUAAUAGGGAGGGUCUUUAUUUACAGAACUAGUGAAUCAAUACUUGUCUGGCACAUGUAAAGGCACUACAAGUGGGCUAUCUCGAUUGCCACAGUCUAUUUCAAGAGGUCCAAUCAAAGUAUUUCAGGGUAAUAAUGACUUUCACAUGCCUGAACCAAUAGGGACGGGUGGUAACAGGUCGAAUUAAGUCGGAUUAGCAUAAUAAACAGCUCACCAAACUUGUUUCCUUGAAACGAGCAAGUUUGCCAACUUUCCAUUUGGAGAUAUUCCAAUUUAAACUAGUCGAAAGAUAACAUAAGCUUUUGUCUAGAUAACACAAUUCCCCUAAACCAUGCUUUCUCAAGCCAUAAGUAGGACAUUUCAUGAUUCCAAGGACCUUAUAGGAGAAUUUUGUUUCUUAUAUUCGUAUGUCCCUCUAUUAUAUUGAGUACUUAGUUUUAGGAAUAUUUCAUCAUGAUCGUCUAGGGAAUAGAACUGAUAGUUGUCGCUAUCUUUGACCUUGUGGGCUAUAUUACUAUUUUCAAUGCUAGGGUUAAUUGUACGACCUUUUUUAUCUCAAUGUUAGCGGCGAGAUAAUGCCUAGCGCAGUUGUAUCCAACGCUUUUAAUAAGUGCAUAUGAGUCCUUCACUCAAGGGCUUAUCCACUCAUACCGUAUAGAAUUGAUGACCCCUUUAUGAGUAUACACUUGUCCUUCAUCUGAGGGUGGUUCGUUCAUUAAUGUUGUAUCAUAUUUUAUUAACUUUAUUCCUCGGAGGGGUCCUUUACUCUUAUUUUGUUCUCUAAAAAGUAUUUUUGCAUCUAAUUUUAGAAAUUUUUAUGCCCCAUUGGGAACUUUGGGAAAUGCCCCUUACUCUAAGUGCAAGUUAUUUAUGACUUGUAUCUUAGAGUAAUCAGUGUUGUUUCUUUUCUUUUUUCUUUUUUUGAAAUUUGCAGGUCUCUAAUUAGUAAAAUAACUCUUUUUAAUUUCAUAAACUUUUUAUGUACCAUUAAGAAAUGCCCCCUACUCUAAGUGCAAGCUAUUUAUGGCUCGUGUUUUAGGGUAGUCAAUUUCUAUUCUCUUUUUUUUUUUUUUUACUUUUAACAUGAGAAAUAUAAAUGUAAAAUUAGCAAAUAAUUUCAAUAAAAUUGUACGUUUUCCUCUUUAGGAGCUCAUGGCUUUACAUGUGGAGCUUCGGGGGCCUGAAGCUAAAGGGUUUUGCAUGUGGGGCCUCUGGGGCCUAGGAGUCGAAGCUCUAAAUGUGAGGCCUCGAGGGCUUGAAGCUAAAGGUUUUGCAUGUGGGGCCUUGGGGCCUGAAAGCUGGAGCUCUGAAUAUGGGACCUUGGGGGCUUGAAGCUAAAGGCUUUACAUGUGGGACCUCGAGGCUUGGGAGCUAAAGCUUUGAAUAUGGGGCCUCAGAGCCUAGGAGUCGGAGCUCAUCUUCUGAGGCUUAAAAGCCCGUCUUCAGCCUUCAUGCCUUAAAAGGCUCAGGAGUUGAGACCCCAUCAGGGUGCCUUAAGAGACUCAGGGAGUGUUUCCUCCAUCAAGGUGCCUUAAGAGGCUUAGGGGUGGUCUCCUGUCAGGGUGCCUUAAGAGGCUUAGGAGUGGUCUCCCAUCAAGUUACCUUAAAAGGCUCAAGUGGUUGUUCCUUAGCAUGGCCGAAGGCUCACGAGAGACUCUUCUGGCUUGGAGAUUCUUUGAGGCUCAUAACCUUUAGGGUUUGACCCCUUCUCUUUUUCCAACGAUCUUCAAUAGCUUAAGAGCCUUUGAUUGGAGGUUCUUAACCUUUGUUUUGGACAUCUUUUAGCCUUUUAUUAAUAUUUAUCUGUAAAACAAUUCUUAUAGAUGCAUAUUUGUGAAGAUAAUAAUAUUUAUGAUAUGUCAUAAACGCAUUCAAUAUUUCUCAACAAAUAAUAUGAUAGAUUAAAAAAAUAGUAUAUAUUUCUACGAGAUCUGUUUACUAAAUUUAAUUAAUAACGAUAGCUUUUGGACACAGAGUAUUUCACAGUGAUAUGUUUAUUCAUAAAAAUAUAUUUAUAUAUACAUGGACAUGAAAUUAAUUUUAAUUUCAAUCAAAAUUUAUAAUCAAUAGCAUUAUAAGCAAGAAUACAUAUGAUUAAAGCAAUACUAGAGCAUAUAAACUUAAAGAAAUAAAAUUUAAAAAUAAAUUCAGAUGCCCCACUCCUUAAGAAUUUAACUUCAUUAAGCUUGUAUAUUGCCCGAGUUGAUUCUAAAAGUCUAGUUGAGGGGGGUUGAAAAAUAAUUCUAUCAAAAGAUUAUAAAUUGAAAUUUCAAAACAAAUAAAGGAAAUGAUUGAAAUUAAAAUUAUAAUUAUAUUUAUUCUAAAGUAAAAUUGGAUUUAAUUCUAAACAAUUAUAAAUCUACAUCUUAUAUUUGACCUCACAGCAAGGAUAUAACAAAGUAAAUUGGAUAAAAAUUUAUGAUGCUAAACUAUAAAUGAAAGGAAUAUACGGUAAUAAUUACGAGUAAUGGUCUUUCUUUUCUUGGGCUAAAAAAUUGUAAGUGAUAAGAAUUAUGGUUAUUAAAAAUACAAGACAUUAUAUUAGUUUCUCAAGCAUGCAGACCAUUUUGCUGUAAAUGGUACAUUUCAUAAUUAAGAGCAAGAAAUAUGUCCAUGACCAAGAACUUUGACAAAUGAGAAUUGUUUAAAUCAGCAAAGUAACAAUUGGGCCUAUAAUGAAAAUUAAAACCAACGACAAGAAAGACAUGCCAAGCACUUUCGAUUAUGAGAUGGGUCCAUCCGCAUUUAUUGGAUUAAAUUAUAAUAAUUCACCAAUUUUGGUAGCUUUCAUGGCUAUGAAAAUUGCUAUUUGUGUAUAAUUCAUAUUAACCACGGGAUAAUUACAAGUUGCAGGUGAUAAGUGGCAACCAUUUGAGUUGUUUAUACUUAUACUAGAGGGACUGAAGCUCGUAAAUGCUUAACUAAAUCUUUAAGCAAAUGUAUCCAUGUGGAGAUUUGCAAUAUUAGAUAAAAUGAGUUAUAAUAAUUUCUUUUUAUUAUAAACAUACCUCCACAUGGCAUUCAUGAAAUGUUAAACAAAACUUGUACUGCUAUGAUUGGCAAUAACAAUAUAAGUCUACACAAGUUUAUACCCUACUUGGCCUGAUAUUCUUACUUCGUUGGCCAAAACAUGUGCAGGGACCAUUUUCUGCACACAAUUUUUUCCCGACAACCGACCAGGACAAGCUUGCGAGUACAUAAAUCACCAGCGCAACGCUUACGAGCACCAAGGGCACAAUCUCAUGACCAGGUGCUGUGCUCAGGUCUCUAUUCAAAGCCCCACUCUGAAGCUCAUCCCACGAGCUUGGUUAACUAUGACUUCUUUUGGUCAUUGACACCAAUCCUACGAGCUACAAGAGUUCGGCUCAAUGUCAGGUUAGACAAGUGCAGUGUCUAUAGAAAGACAGCCUAGCCCAUGCAGCACGUCUUCUACAAUUAACACGUACGGGCUAUCAAUCUCGUCUUCUAGUAACGACUACUGCUGGUCAUGACACAUCUAGCCUACUUGUUCCAGAUGUUCAGAGCCCUCAAGUUCUCUCCGGGUCAUUGAAUAGAGCUCGUCCAACCCCGAGUCAUUUUGGACAACCAAAAAUUUGCUUUGAAGAAAGGUAAUGAUGACAGUUUUUGUAAAUAAACUCAAGUUUUAUAACAAAUAGUGGUUUUUUGCAAUAUGCAUGUAGAGACGGACACUUGCUCAUGCUAUGACUCCGACCAACAUGAGUCGUUCCUCCAUCGACUGAUUGAUUGCACAAGCUUGUCUCAGUGUACGAGCUCGUCUCAGCCCAUAGUUUCUCCAAACGACCACUCUGGCCGUGUACGACUACUCACCCUUACCAAGUACGACCAUUAGAGGUCGUCUCUUAACAAGCCGACUUGUUUUAGACAACCACCUAGUACGACCAUUGGAGGUCGUCCCUUAACUCUAAGCCCGUUUGACUCAAAACUGUCCUGGGCACUCUCAACAAGCACCGCCACAAUCACACCUGUAUCAUCACUUGCUCCCAACUUUCUUCAAUAUUAUGAAAACAUGUUUAUAGCAAACAAAAUCCAUUCUUGUCGCAUUUAUUUAUUUAUUUAUUUAUAUUAAUUCGAAACUCAGAUAAUUUAGACAGAUCUAGACUUGGUCAGAAACAAAUUCCUAGAUCUCACUCUGGUAACAAGAAGGUAGAGAAAGCUCGAGCAGAGGUUGCAAAUGCGCUUAGAACAAAUAGGUUUGAGUUAAUUACCUCAUAGUAUGGAGAUUUUUCAUCAGAGAAAUAAAUUCUUCAAGCCGGGUAGUUGUAAACCACUGGCUAUCCUCUUUGUCCACCAACUAUUUCUCGAACAAUGGAUCCGUCCUAUUUCUUGAACAAUGGAUCCCUCCUAUGUCGGGACUUUAGAAAAUAAAAAGAUGUUGAUUUUUCAACAAGAAUGAGAAAAACACAGCUUCUUGUGUCGGUUCCCAUAAACGGCGUCAAUUAAUGAAGCAUAAAACUGUAGCUUUAUUGAUAUAAGUUCUAUUUCCAUUGUCUCAGCUUAAGGGAUCCGUUAGAGGGGUAGUAGUGCAGAGAGAAAAGGGAGGUAGAGUCGAGAGAGAGAAGAGUAAUAAGGCAGGGAAGGAGAGAGAGGAGAAAGAGAGAGCAGAUACGAGAGAUGAAUACCUUCUUACCUGGUUCUAUUUAUAUGAAAAAAUAAUGAGAGUAUAUUCUUUAUCAUAUUCUUUAACAUAUUUUAAGAAAUAUUCUUUAGAGCUAUAUUCCUCAAUGAAAUGAAUAUAUAUUAUAUGUGAUUAUUUUAUAGUGUAUUAAAUAAGAAUCUAAUUCAACCACUUCUUUUACGGGAUGGUAAGAAUUGAUGACCAAAGUAAACUUUACGCUUUAGUACCUAUAUGAAAAAAGGUAAAAGAUAGCAAAAAGGAUCUCUAUCUUUCCUACAAUGAUAGAUAUAAUAAUAAGUGAACCAAUGACAAAUAACAAUUAAAUAAAUGUAAAGUUAUUCUCAAGUGGGUUGUCCUUAUUAUAGAAAUCUAUACAAGAAGUUUAAUCAUAUAAGGUGAUAUAGACUAGAGGUAUUAAAGUGAAUUUAUAGAAUAAUUAAUUUGCUCGACUUAUUCAUCAAGAAUAGCAGAUAAAUCGACCUAUUUUUCUAAAGUAACUAUUAAAAGUAGGUAGAAAAAGAGCGAUUAUAACCUUUUAAUUUUAUUUCAUAGCAUCUUAGAUUAAACACGAUAACUUCAUCAAAAGAAAUAAUUAGUUCUUUAAAGAAAAUAUAUGUUGGUAAUUAAUAAAUUCUUAAUAGAGUAAAAUAGUUAUCUUUUAUUGAAAGUUGAAAUCAGAUAUACAACUCCCUUUUUUUUUCUUUAGUUAAGAAGUAAUUUAGGCCAAAAUAAUCGUGUAAAAAAGUGAUUUAUUUUAUAUCUAAUAAUUAAAAAAAUAUGACUAUUUUAUUAGGAUACAUGUCUCUUAUCUAAGGAUUCGGCUAAUUAUAUUGUAUCAAACAUAAAAUAAAGUAACAUUAUUAAGAAAAAGAUUUGCUUUUAUCUAAAUAAUAUAAUCAAUUUGAUUGAAUUUCUUAUUUGACAUUAAUUUUUACAAUAAUUAUUAUUGUCCUUUCAGGCCACAUUUAUACAUCUUUUCUCGCGUUGUGAUAUGAGUUUAUUAUGUCAAAGUAACCAUGCCAUUUAUUUAUUUUAUGCUUUUAAUAAUAAAAAAAAAUAUUUAUUCUAUUUUUUAAUAAUAAUUAUUAAUAAAAAAAUAUUUAUUUUAUCAGAGUCUCACAGAAAGAUUGAAAGAAAGAACGACAAUUACGAACGCUGGGGUUUAGGUUUACCUUUUCUCUAAGGAUGAUCGAUUACUCAAAAACUAAAUGGGUCUGCGGAGUCUUUGGGCAGAACCAUUCAAUCCCCACGAAAGCGUAGGUCAGUUUGCCGAUUUGCGUUUAAAUUAGAUUAUAUUUUCUGUUCGUCAGUUAUUACAAUUACUUGUUACCAAUCAAGUCAUUGUACAAGAAAAUUGAUGUAGUAAAGGAAAUCAAAUUCACCUCCUUGAUAUAUUUAUCUACAUUGCAAUUUCCCAAUUGAUAAAAUAAAGAUUGUGUUAAAUCAAAAUAGGAAUUAAAGUUUGAAUUAAAAAUUAAUUGGGAGUUAAAAGUAAUUAAGAAAGUUUAAGUGAAAAAAGAAGUGUUAGAAUUAUGAUUCAAAAUCUUAAUGGGAUUUGGAGAGACCUUUUACUAAUUUAAGUGGAAGAAAUAUUUUCUAUAUAGAAUUAUUCCUUAAUUGAGUAAGACUCCUAAUCAGAUUAUAAUUGAGAGAAUUAACAUUAUAAAUAAGAGAUUAGUCGAAAAAAUUAUUUGACUUUCGAUUCAUUGAGUUAGGCUGUUGCCCAUUGUAGAGAGG
RNAcentral lists this unclassified non-coding RNA (7692 nucleotides) under Hevea brasiliensis (rubber tree). Lineage: Eukaryota; Viridiplantae; Streptophyta; Magnoliopsida; Malpighiales; Euphorbiaceae. The record is from RNAcentral.